AGGGUGUACAUAAGUUUACACAGCAAGACAGAGUAGCGGUAAUAACAAAAAUGAAUAAUGAUGGGGAUGGGGAUGACGAUGGGGUUUGUAAAUAAUGAGGUUUCUACUUUCUAUUUGAAUCUGAAACACAAACGGAGCUCAUAAAUCAAAGGCUCCUUAUAUCUGCUUCCCUCUUCCCUCCCUCAUUCAACAUAGCAUAACACCAUGAGUUGGUGGUGGGCUGGAGCUAUCGGUGCUGCCAAGGCAACAAAAAAAUUCGAAGACGACGAACCUCCGCGAAGCUUCCAAAGCGUGGGUCUGAUCAUCGGCGUCACCGGCAUAGUCGGCAACAGCCUCGCCGAGAUUCUCCCUCUCGCCGAUACCCCCGGCGGUCCAUGGAAGGUCUACGGCGUUGCCCGGCGGCCCCGUCCAUCCUGGAACGUCGAUCACCCAAUCGAAUACAUCCAGUGCGACAUCUCCGAUCCCAACGACACCCAAUCGAAGCUCUCCGCCCUAACAGACGUCACACACAUCUUCUACGUCUCAUGGACUAGACGCCCCACCGAAGCCGAGAAUUGCCAGGUUAACGGCGCCAUGCUCAGGAACGUCCUCCAAGCCGUUAUCCCCAACGCCCCCAAUCUCCGCCACGUGUCCCUCCAGACUGGUGGCAAGCACUACCUAGGUCCCUUCGAGCUCUUCGGCAAGAUCCAACCCCACGAGCCGCCGUUCACGGAGGAUCUGCCGCGACUCAAGGCCCCCAAUUUCUAUUACACUCAGGAAGACAUCUUGUACGAAGAGACGCAGACGAAGGACGGUGUUUCUUGGUCGGUUCACCGGCCACAAGUGAUCUUCGGAUUCUCACCUUACAGCUUGAUGAACAUGGUGGGAACCCUGUGCGUGUACGCGGCGAUUUGCAAGCACGAGAGGGUUCCGUUGAGAUUCCCUGGAACCAAAUCGGCGUGGGAGGAUUACACGACGGCGUCGGAUGCUGAUUUGAUCGCGGAGCAGCAUAUAUGGGCGGCGGUGGACGCGUACGCGAGGAACGAGGCGUUCAAUUGCAGCAACGGGGAUGUGUUCAAGUGGAAGCAUCUGUGGAAGGUGCUGGCGGAGCAGUAUGGGAUCACCGAGUAUGGCUUCGAUGAGGGUUCCGAGAGACUCAAGUUGUCGGAGAUGAUGAGGGAUAAGGGCCCUGUGUGGGAUGAGAUUGUUAGAGAGAAUCAGCUUUCUCCCACCAAACUUGAAGAGGUUGCUGAUUGGUGGUUUGUGGAUGUGAUGUUCGGUGGCGCUGGCCUUUUGGAUAGCAUGAACAAGUCCAAAGAGCAUGGCUUCUUGGGUUUCAGGAACUCCAAGAAUUCCUUCAUUAGCUGGAUUGAUAAGACCAGAGCUUUCAAGAUUGUGCCUUGAAUUCUUCAAUAUCCAUGUAUCUUGCUUCCUAAACUUUCAGGUGAUUGUUGAAAAGGCGGAAAUAAGUGACAUCCCAAGUAUUGACAAGAAGAAGAGCAAUAAUGUCUACCAUAUAUGAAGAGAAGGAUGAAGAUGGCUUUCUUUAUGUAACAUACAGUGGCGAGAACACCUUUGGGGAUCUCACUUUCCACAUUCAUUAGCCAUUUCCUUAUAUCUAUGACUAUGAUUAAUGAUUUGUAUGAAUUCGUUACAGUUCACAUAUCAGGAACCUUGAUUUAUCUCAAUGACAUGUACAGUUUGU
This is a non-coding RNA of Arachis ipaensis, 1684 nucleotides long. NCBI's taxonomy places the organism in Eukaryota, Viridiplantae, Streptophyta, Magnoliopsida, Fabales, Fabaceae. The record is from RefSeq and is a predicted model, not a curated record.